RNAcentral lists this ribosomal RNA (497 nucleotides) under uncultured bacterium. RNAcentral's name for it is "partial 16S ribosomal RNA". It matches the Rfam family "Bacterial small subunit ribosomal RNA", at positions 28 to 507 of the family's 1533-position model. The record is from RNAcentral.
GAUGAACGCUGGCGGCGUGCCUAAUACAUGCAAGUCGAGCGAACAGAUAAGGAGCUUGCUCCUUUGACGUUAGCGGCUGACGGGUGAGUAACACGUGGGUAACCUACCUAUAAGACUGGAAUAACUCCGGGAAACCGGGGCUAAUGCCGGAUAACAUUUAGAACCGCAUGGUUCUAAAGUGCAAGAUGGUUUUACUAUCACUUAUAGAUGGACCCGCGCCGUAUUAGCUAGUUGGUAAGGUAACGGCUUACCAAGGCAACGAUACGUAGCCGACCUGAGAGGGUGAUCGGCCACACUGGAACUGAGACACGGUCCAGACUCCUACGGGAGGCAGCAGUAGGGAAUCUUCCGCAAUGGGCGAAAGCCUGACGGAGCAACGCCGCGUGAGUGAUGAAGGUCUUCGGAUCGUAAAACUCUGUUAUUAGGGAAGAACAAAUGUGUAAGUAACUGUGCACGUCUUGACGGUACCUAAUCAGAAAGCCACGGCUAACUACGUG